This 253-nucleotide ribosomal RNA is filed under the name uncultured bacterium. Its description in RNAcentral is "partial 16S ribosomal RNA". It matches the Rfam family "Bacterial small subunit ribosomal RNA", at positions 524 to 776 of the family's 1533-position model. The record is from RNAcentral.
UACGAAGGGUGCUAGCGUUGUUCGGAAUUACUGGGCGUAAAGCGCGCGUAGGCUGCAUAGCAAGUCAGUGGUGAAAUCCCGGAGCUUAACUUCGGAACUGCCAUUGAAACUGAUGUGCUGGAAUCUCAGAGGGGAUAGCGGAAUUCCAAAUGUAGGGGUGAAAUCCGUAGAUAUUUGGAGGAACCCCGGUGGCGAAGGCGGCUAUCUGGAUGAGUAUUGACGCUGAGGAGCGAAAGCGUGGGUAUCAAACAGG